UACGUAGGGGGCAAGCGUUGUCCGGAAUCAUUGGGCGUAAAGCGCGUGUAGGCGGCUUGGUAAGUCCGCUCUGAAAGCCCGGGGCUCAACCCCGGGAGGCGGGUGGAUACUGUCAAGCUCGAGUCCGGAAGAGGCGAGUGGAAUUCCUGGUGUAGCGGUGAAAUGCGCAGAUAUCAGGAGGAACACCAAUAGCGAAGGCAGCUCGCUGGGACGGUACUGACGCUAAGGCGCGAAAGCGUGGGGAGCGAACAGG
RNAcentral lists this ribosomal RNA (253 nucleotides) under uncultured bacterium. Its description in RNAcentral is "partial 16S ribosomal RNA". It matches the Rfam family "Bacterial small subunit ribosomal RNA", at positions 524 to 776 of the family's 1533-position model. The record is from RNAcentral.